GACGAACGCUGGCGGCGUGCCUAAUACAUGCAAGUCGAGCGAUGAAGAUUGGUGCUUGCCCCAAUCUGAAGAGCAGCGCACGGGUGAGUAACGCGUGGGGAAUCUGCCUUUGAGCGGGGGACAACAUUUGGAAACGAAUGCUAAUACCGCAUAAUAACCUUAAACAUAAGUUUUAAGUUUGAAAGAUGCAAUUGCAUCACUCAAAGAUGAUCCCGCGUUGUAUUAGCUAGUUGGUGAGGUAAAGGCUCACCAAGGCGAUGAUACAUAGCGGACCUGAGAGGGUGGUUAGCCACACUGGGACGGAGACACGGCACAAACGGACACAGGAGGCAGCAAGAGGGAAACGUCGGCAAGCGGCGGAAAACUGAGCGAGAUACGCCGCGGGAGGAUGGAGGGGUGUCGGGUCGUAGAAGUCGGUUGGUAGGGAGGAACGUUGGUGCGAGUGGAAAGCUCAGCAAGUGACGGUAACUGCACAGAAAGGGACGGCUAACUACGUG
RNAcentral lists this ribosomal RNA (497 nucleotides) under uncultured bacterium. RNAcentral describes it as "partial 16S ribosomal RNA". It matches the Rfam family "Bacterial small subunit ribosomal RNA", at positions 28 to 507 of the family's 1533-position model. The record is from RNAcentral.